GAUGAACGCUGGCGGCGUGCUUAACACAUGCAAGUCGAGCGAAGCAGUUAAGUUGAUUUCUUCGGAUUGAUUCUUGACUGACUGAGCGGCGGACGGGUGAGUAACGCGUGGGUGACCUUCCCCAUACCGGGGGAUAACAGCCGGAAACGGCUGCUAAUACCGCAUAAGCGCACAGAGCUGCAUGGCUCGGUGUGAAAAACUCCGGUGGUAUGGGAUGGGCCCGCGUCUGAUUAGGCAGUUGGCGGGGUAACGGCCCACCAAACCGACGAUCAGUAGCCGGCCUGAGAGGGCGACCGGCCACAUUGGGACUGAGACACGGCCCAAACUCCUACGGGAGGCAGCAGUGGGGAAUAUUGCACAAUGGGGGAAACCCUGAUGCAGCGACGCCGCGUGAGCGAAGAAGUAUUUCGGUAUGUAAAGCUCUAUCAGCAGGGAAGAUAAUGACGGUACCUGACUAAGAAGCCCCGGCUAACUACGUGCCAGCAGCCGCCGUAA
RNAcentral lists this ribosomal RNA (495 nucleotides) under uncultured bacterium. RNAcentral describes it as "partial 16S ribosomal RNA". It matches the Rfam family "Bacterial small subunit ribosomal RNA", at positions 28 to 523 of the family's 1533-position model. The record is from RNAcentral.